Molecule: unclassified non-coding RNA, 212 nt
Filed under: uncultured Dactylella
Lineage: Eukaryota; Fungi; Ascomycota; Orbiliomycetes; Orbiliales; Orbiliaceae
Description: sequence contains ITS2
Source: RNAcentral
CUUAAUCCCUCUGGGUAGUGGUGUUUACGCCACUGCCUGGGCCUUUGGCGUGGGGGAAAUGUCCGCGGUGCUUCGGCACCAGGAGUUUCCCACCCGCUUAAAUGCGGAGAAAGCUAGCCGGCGAUGCCCCAAUGCAACGACUUGUAUGUCCAGCGUCGUAAUGCUUCUGGAGCUCCCGGCCUCUGAACAAUAGGGACCCUCAGGUCCCAGAU